CCUACGGGUGGCAGCAGUGAGGAAUAUUGGUCAAUGGACGAGAGUCUGAACCAGCCAAGUAGCGUGAAGGAUGACUGCCCUAUGGAUUGUAAACUUCUUUUAUAUGGGAAUAAAAUGUUCCACGUGUGGGAUUUUGUAUGUACCAUAUGAAUAAGGAUCGGCUAACUCCGUGCCAGCAGCCGCGGUAAUACGGAGGAUCCGAGCGUUAUCCGGAUUUAUUGGGUUUAAAGGGAGCGUAGGUGGAUUGUUAAGUCAGUUGUGAAAGUUUGCGGCUCAACCGUAAAAUUGCAGUUGAAACUGGCAGUCUUGAGUACAGUAGAGGUGGGCGGAAGUCGUGGUGUAGCGGUGAAAUGCUUAGAUAUCACGAAGAACUCCGAUUGCGAAGGCAGUUCACUGGACUGCAACUGACACUGAGGCUCGAAAGUGUGGGUAUCAAACAGGAUUAGAUACCCCUGUAGUC
Molecule: ribosomal RNA, 460 nt
Filed under: uncultured bacterium
Lineage: Bacteria
Description: partial 16S ribosomal RNA
Rfam family: Bacterial small subunit ribosomal RNA
Source: RNAcentral